Molecule: ribosomal RNA, 253 nt
Filed under: uncultured bacterium
Lineage: Bacteria
Description: partial 16S ribosomal RNA
Rfam family: Bacterial small subunit ribosomal RNA
Source: RNAcentral
GACAGAGGGUGCAAGCGUUGUUCGGAAUUACUGGGCGUAAAGCGCGUGUAGGCGGCUAUGUAAGUCGGGCGUGAAAUCCCACGGCUCAACCGUGGAAGUGCACCCGAAACUGCGUAGCUAGAGUCCUGGAGAGGAAGGUGGAAUGCUUGGUGUAGAGGUGAAAUUCGUAGAUAUCAAGCGGAACACCGGUGGCGAAGGCGGCCUUCUGGACAGUGACUGACGCUGAGACGCGAAAGCGUGGGGAGCAAACAGG